RNAcentral lists this long non-coding RNA (397 nucleotides) under Hordeum vulgare. RNAcentral describes it as "long non-coding RNA (HVUL_LNC010588)". Lineage: Eukaryota; Viridiplantae; Streptophyta; Magnoliopsida; Poales; Poaceae. The record is from RNAcentral.
UCGGCUUCGAGCGGGCUCUGCUUUAAGCAGGGUCAACGGCCGGGGAGAGGUCGGGUAAAGCACUCUCGUCAACAAGCAAUGAGAGAGAUGGAGCGAGAGAAAAUAGACUGAGCGAGCUCAUUGAUGUGUAGCACGGGAUUUGUCAUGGUGGUGUGAGGUAGCAGGAAGAGGAAUGGAGAUGAUGUGUGGUGGCUGUGCAGGGGGAUCUGCCAUGAUGGUGUGAGGUAGCAGGAGGAGGAGAUGAUGUGUGGAUAAGGAGCUUCCAGUGCGGCUCAUUGAGGAUUUGGUGACUGUUGCUUCUUUCUUUAUCAAUCGUUGUUGCUGGAUGCACCGAUUAAAAAAACAAUGCUCAUCCAUUGAAUUUAUGUGCGACUGUUCAUGGCGUUUGAAAAAAAAA